UAGACACGCUGAGUUGCUAGGCUGCUGGUUUGUCUCCACCAGAGCACACAGCCCACCGCAUGCCAGCUUUCUGGAUUUUGCCUCCAGUUUGCCCCAGGUGCAUAAGAAAUUCUUCUUCAAAUUGAGAUGCUGAGGGCGACCCCAUAGGAAGACUAGCAGUCUCAACUAACCUGGACCCCUGAGAUCUCUCAGACACUGAGUGACCAACCAGGCAGCAUACAACCAGCUGAUAUGAGGCCCCCAACACAUAUACAGCAGAGGACUGCCGGGUCUGGCCUCAGUGGGAGAAGAAGCACCUAACCCCUGGAGAGGCUUGAGGCCCCGCGGAGUGAAGAGAUGUGGUGUUGCAUGCCGGUGAUCCCAGCAUCCAGAGGCGGAGGCAGGAGAAUCAGAAGCUCACGGUGAUCCAGGACUACAAAGCAGGACAUCUUCAACCGAUAACAAAAACCUUGAGUACCUACCAUGAUGGGCUGUAGGCAGUGGCGUGCUUGCAAUGAAGGCUCAAGGCUCUGGGCUCCACUCCAACACUGAUUACGGUUCUAGAUAAUCAACCUGUCACUCUUACAAUUUUAGAAAGACUGAAGUCUGGAAAGAUUAAUUUCUGCUUUUAAUAAUUUAUUUCCUACACCACACACCCGCCACUUGCUUUUUAGCGAGGCUUGCAGUUUCUUGCUGAAAUCUAGACACUACAACCUCACGAAAAGAAACUUCUAAAUAGGCCUUUUGUGUGAAGGUUUGUUUGUCUGGCUGAACUUCAGGCUCUGAGUGUACUGUUUGCUGUCAUGGUAAGUAUUAGAAACCAAGGUUUCAUGUGGCAUUCUUGUUGUGGCCUCUCUAUUGCCUCUGAGCUGCCCUAGAGACUGCUUAAACGUUCUCCGGGGACUUAAUUAAGGAGUUCUCUAGGGUUCACGCCCAGCCAUUACUCGGCUGCCCAGUAGAUGCGGUGACCUGUGUGGUGUUUCUGUGCUCGGGCAGUAAGCAUGCACUGUGGAGCUGAGUCUUCACCAGUGCCCUUCACUCUUUUUUGUUCUGUUUUUCCACCUCAGGUGAGACUGGAAGUGUUAAAGAAAUUAUUUAAUUCCCAGCCCAUGGUUUCUACCCCACCUUUGAGUUCCCUGAUGAAAGACGCAUGCACAGCCUUUAUAUUUAUUUACAAUAUGCCUUAAACAGCACAAGAGCUGGGCAGCUGCCUACCCCUCAUGCUGUUAGAAUCUACUUCCCUACGCAUAACCCCGAGCUAUUACUUACUAUUUAUUAUGUUUCAUCUGGGCUGCUCUUAGCUCCAAUUGGGCAGCCCUCAGGGCCACGUUCUCUUGACUCUUAACCCAUGGCCACUUCUCCUUCUCUUCUCCUGCACCUCCUUUUCCUUGUGGUCCUCUCUGACGGCAAGCUGGGAAAUCUAAACCCCACCUCGGUAUCUUCUGUGAGCUAUUGGCUAUUGGCAUCUUUAUUCACCAAUCAGGACUAACUUGGGGGCAGGGUCACAGGGGCUAAGUGCAGAGUCUAGGUCUUAGGGCACACACAUAGCAUUACAAUAGACAGUAAAAGGCAAAAACCUCAACACGGAAGGCAGUUGCUGUCUUUCCCCCUUCCACUUAGUUAGGCACUGUGUUCUCUUGAGGGCAGGCCUCACUGAAGAACAGAAUAUUCUGGUCAUAUUGUAAAAUGGC
RNAcentral lists this long non-coding RNA (1670 nucleotides) under Mus musculus (house mouse). RNAcentral's name for it is "predicted gene, 50277". The record is from RNAcentral. Lineage: Eukaryota; Metazoa; Chordata; Mammalia; Rodentia; Muridae. RNAcentral also lists the same sequence under 1 other name.